GGAUCUAUGGUGUAGCCUGGAUAGCACGUAGGCUUGCGGAGCCUAAAACUUGGGUUCAAAUCCCAAUAGAUCCG
Molecule: transfer RNA, 74 nt
Filed under: archaeon
Lineage: Archaea
Also listed under: 1 other name
Description: tRNA-Arg
Rfam family: tRNA
About the family: Transfer RNA (tRNA) molecules are approximately 80 nucleotides in length. Their secondary structure includes four short double-helical elements and three loops (D, anti-codon, and T loops). Further hydrogen bonds mediate the characteristic L-shaped molecular structure. tRNAs have two regions of fundamental functional importance: the anti-codon, which is responsible for specific mRNA codon recognition, and the 3' end, to which the tRNAs corresponding amino acid is attached (by aminoacyl-tRNA synthetases). tRNAs cope with the degeneracy of the genetic code in two manners: having more than one tRNA (with a specific anti-codon) for a particular amino acid; and 'wobble' base-pairing, i.e. permitting non-standard base-pairing at the 3rd anti-codon position.
Source: RNAcentral